AACGAACGCUGGCGGCAUGCCUAACACAUGCAAGUCGAACGAGAACUUCGGGCCUAGUGGCGCACGGGUGCGUAAGGCGUGGGAAGUUACCCUUAGGUUCGGAAUACCUCCCUGUAAGGGAUGCUAAUACCAGUUAAUGUCAUCGGACCAAAGAUGUCUCGCCUUGGGAUGGGGCCGGGUUGGUUUAGCCGGUUGGUAGGGUAAAAGCCUACCAAGGCCACGAUGCAGAGCUGGUCUGAGAGGAUGAUCAGCUACACUUGGACUGAGACACGGCCUAGUCUCCUACGGGAGGCAGCAGUAGGGAAUACUAUAGGAUGAGGGAAAGCCUGGUCCAGCAAUGCCGCGUAAGUGAGGAAUGCCUUAGGGUUGUGAAUCUCUUUUACCCGGGAUGAUAAUGACAGUAACGGGUGAAGAAGCUCCGGCUAACUCCGUG
RNAcentral lists this ribosomal RNA (433 nucleotides) under uncultured bacterium. RNAcentral's name for it is "partial 16S ribosomal RNA". It matches the Rfam family "Bacterial small subunit ribosomal RNA", at positions 29 to 507 of the family's 1533-position model. The record is from RNAcentral.